RNAcentral lists this ribosomal RNA (315 nucleotides) under uncultured eukaryote. RNAcentral describes it as "partial 18S ribosomal RNA". It matches the Rfam family "Eukaryotic small subunit ribosomal RNA", at positions 1470 to 1796 of the family's 1831-position model. The record is from RNAcentral.
CCCUUAGAUGUUCUGGGCUGCACGCGCGCUACACUGACGCACGCAACAGGUGCCUGCUCCGAGAGGACUGGGUGAUCAUUUGAGUGUGCGUCGUGAUGGGGAUAGAAUAUUGUAAUUAUUACUCUUCAACGAGGAAUUCCUAGUAAGCGCCAGUCAGCAGCUUGCGCUGAUUACGUCCCUGCCCUUUGUACACACCGCCCGUCGCUCCUACCGAUGGGUGAUCCGGUGAAUGAUUCGGACUUCAGCGGCUCCCCUGGGGUGCGCCGGAGAAAGUUUUGUGAACCUUAUCACUUGGAGGAAGGAGAAGUCGUAACA